Osmia lignaria (orchard mason bee) is the source of this 1119-nucleotide long non-coding RNA. RefSeq lists it as uncharacterized. The record is from RefSeq and is a predicted model, not a curated record. NCBI's taxonomy places the organism in Eukaryota, Metazoa, Arthropoda, Insecta, Hymenoptera, Megachilidae.
UGUGAAUUUGAUGCAAAUUUUAACUCACCCCCGGACUUCCAGGCGGCGCUGAUGUCGCUUCUCUACAUGCAUAGCUUGUAUCACUGAUUUUAACAUACACAACUAAAGAUAUCGUGACGUCAUGUUCCCGCGAAAUUUGUCGCCGCUUUUUCAAUUGUUUCAAAAUUUAAAGAGACAAAAGAAUUAUGGCGCACAUGGUUGCACAUGGUGACAGCGUGGGUGACUGAAUUUCCAGGUUCGUGAAUUCCAUUAUUAUAAUAAUUACUAUUAUUAUUAUUUAAAAAGAUAUUUUUUAAAAUUUUUUCUAGGUUUUUAGGUUUUUAAUAACUUCUACUGAUGAGAUGCAGCAGAAGAAGAUAGAAAUUAAGAUGUUCUCCUUCACUCAAGAGAAAAAGGAUAAGAAGAGGAUGGCGCAGUGGAUGGAAGUACGUGGUAACCCAAAGUCAGUGCUUCCACUUGAAAACUGAAUUUCUGGAUGAUCUGUAACAGCUAUUUUGAAGAAAAAUACUUUGUGAGAAAAAGAUUAACAACAUCAGCAGUUCCCGCACUGAACUUACUUGUGUCUGAGGCUGCCUUUAUUAAAAUAGAGCAACAAGACAUCUGGAUGCAAAUGAAAAGAAGAAAAAGAAGAAGAUUGUAAGUAUCCAGUUUACAUAUACAAUAUAUAAAAGCAUUAACAUGGUAUUAAUACACUGAGGUAUACAUAAUAAUACUUCUAGCAUGAAGUGUAUGUAUAAUAUUAUAUAAUUUUGUUCUUAUAGUUAAACCUGACCACCAGGGGUCAGUAAAAGUAGUAAAAGUUUAAUAUAUGGAAAUGUAUUAUGGAAAUUACUCCACAUAUAUUGUUAUAAUUUUUUCCCUUUCAUUAUUUUUAUUUUUCAAAGUUUUGAAUGGGUAAGACUAUGCACACGUAUAUAGGGAGCAUAUGCUUGUGUGCGUAUCUCACUGAUAUAAUUUCUAUGUGUUUGUAGCGACACCAGCGCUACCUAGAAUUCCGGGGGUGAACUAAUUUUCGUUACAGUAUUAAAUACGGGAGUUUGGCCUGGGACAAAUUUUUACCCUCUCCACGACGCACAGUGGCGAAUUUGCCCGAAUUCGUGGCCAAAAUUAAUAUCUUGG